AACGAAUGCUGGCGGCAGGCCUAACACAUGCAAGUCGAACGAACUCUUCGGAGUGAGUGGCAGACGGGUUAGUAACACGUGGGAACCUACCCUUUAGUUCGGAAUAACGUCGAGAAAUCGUCGCUAAUACCGUAUACGCCCUUCGGGGGAAAGAUUUAUCGCUAAAGGAUGGGCCCGCGGCAGAUUAGGUAGUUGGUGGGGUAAUGGCCUACCAAGCCGACGAUCUGUAGCUGGUUUGAGAGGAUGAUCAGCAACACUGGAACUGAGACACGGUCCAGACUCCUACGGGAGGCAGCAGUGGGGAAUAUUCGGCAAUGGGCGAAAGCCUGACCGAGCCAUGCCGCGUGAGUGAUGAAGGCCUUAGGGUUGUAAAACUCUUUCGCCGGUGAAGAUAAUGACGGUAACCGGUAAAGAAGCCCCGGCUAAUUUCG
RNAcentral lists this ribosomal RNA (431 nucleotides) under uncultured Alphaproteobacteria bacterium. RNAcentral describes it as "bacterial SSU rRNA". It matches the Rfam family "Bacterial small subunit ribosomal RNA", at positions 29 to 505 of the family's 1533-position model. Lineage: Bacteria; Pseudomonadati; Pseudomonadota; Alphaproteobacteria. The record is from RNAcentral.